ACAUAAAAGUGGAGGCUAUUGUAACUGAAGAGAACUGGAAAGUUCCACCGUAGAAGGUAAUAGUCCUGUAAGUGAAACGAGAAGACCACGAGUUAUGAUCCAGAGUACCACGAGACACGUGAAACCUUGUGGGAAGCAGGGAGGACCACCUCCCAAGGCUAAAUACUACCUGAUGACCGAUAGUGAAGCAGUACCGUGAGGGAAAGGUGAAAAGAACCCCGGGAGGGGAGUGAAAUAGAACCUGAGACCGUGUGCCUACAACCGCUCAGAGCCCCUUAUGAGGGUGAUGAGGUGCUUUUUGUAGAACGAGCCAACGAGUUACGGUAUGUAGCAAGGUUAAGUACUUAAGGUACGGAGCCGAAGGGAAACCGAGUCUGAAUAGGGCGACUAGUUGCAUGCCGUAGACCCGACACCGGGUGACCUAUCCAUGGCCAGGUUGAAGCGAGGGUAAAACCUCGUGGAGGACCGAACCACGUUGCUGUUGAAAAAGCAUGGGAUGAGCUGUGGAUAGCGGAGAAAUUCCAAUCGAACCCGGAGAUAGCUGGUUCUCUCCGAAAUAGCUUUAGGGCUAGCGUCGAGUAUGAGUAGUGGAGGUAGAGCACUGAAUGGGCUAGGGG
RNAcentral lists this ribosomal RNA (617 nucleotides) under Clostridium perfringens. Its description in RNAcentral is "bacterial LSU rRNA". It matches the Rfam family "Bacterial large subunit ribosomal RNA", at positions 309 to 925 of the family's 2925-position model. Lineage: Bacteria; Bacillati; Bacillota; Clostridia; Eubacteriales; Clostridiaceae. The record is from RNAcentral.